This 673-nucleotide long non-coding RNA is filed under the name Scleropages formosus (Asian bonytongue). RNAcentral's name for it is "lncRNA (ENSSFOG00015027204.1)". Lineage: Eukaryota; Metazoa; Chordata; Actinopteri; Osteoglossiformes; Osteoglossidae. The record is from RNAcentral.
GUCAUCAGCAUCCUGGGGGGUGUCGUAGCUGCUGGACUCAUCAUCGGUGUUGCUGUCACUGUGUUCAUGGUCUACCGGCGUCAACAGAAGACACGCACAGAGACAGAUAAUGACCUGACAGACCUCCCGCCGGCUCACAAACCAGCCCCACCUCCACCGCAGAAGAAGACCAGCGACUCAAAGACCCACCUGACAUCUGAUGACAUACAGGUGGUCCACCUGGACAAGGAGGAUGAGAUGCAGAAACUGCCACUCCAACCCCCUUACUACGACAUGGCUCCAUCUGAGGCGAACCACAGGAAGCGUCACAAAGAGCUAUCAAACCCGGCUGACUCUGUGAACAGUCAUCGGUCCCGACCCUGGGAGGUUCAUCUGGAGCCUCGGCCUCCGCCGGCCCACCCCCCACUGGCCGUCUCGCCCCUCGGUCCUUGCGCACAGCCCCCCUCCAGCAGCCCCACAUUACGGCCACCCGCCGCGAGCCUGCGGGUCCUCUACAGCUUCCCUCAGGACCAGCGCAUCUAGCGUCGAGCAUCCUCCGCGGUCGUGGCACGACACCCGGCUCUCUCCACACUUCUCCUUGACCACUCUUCACGUCAGCCUUGUCUUCCACUAGCUUUAGCUGUUCGAAUUUUUCAUUUGCCAAGUUUCCUUGUCCUCAUGUACAAGACACACC